Molecule: ribosomal RNA, 446 nt
Filed under: uncultured bacterium
Lineage: Bacteria
Description: partial 16S ribosomal RNA
Rfam family: Bacterial small subunit ribosomal RNA
Source: RNAcentral
ACCAGACUCCUACGGGAGGCAGCAGUGGGGGAUAUUGCACAAUGGGGGGAACCCUGAUGCAGCGACGCCGCGUGGGUGAAGAAGCGCCUCGGCGCGUAAAGCCCUGUCAGCAGGGAAGAAAAUGACGGUACCUGAAGAAGAAGCCCCGGCCAACUACGUGCCAGCAGCCGCGGUAAUACGUAGGGGGCAAGCGUUAUCCGGAUUUACUGGGUGUAAAGGGGGCGCAGACGGCGAUGCAAGCCAGGAGUGAAAGCCCGGGGCCCAACCCCGGGACUGCUCUUGGAACUGCGUGGCUGGAGUGCAGGAGGGGCAGGCGGAAUUCCUGGUGUAGCGGUGAAAUGCGUAGAUAUCAGGAGGAACACCGGUGGCGAAGGCGGCCUGCUGGACUGCAACUGACGUUGAGGCCCGAAAGCGUGGGGAGCAAACAGGAUUAGAUACCCCUGUAC